GAAGUUCCUACACAAAAAAAGGAUCAUUUGAAAGCACCUGGAAUGAGUCUCACUCUGUUGCCCAAGGUGGAGAGAAGUGGCACGCUUUUGUCUCACUGCAACCUCCACCUCCCGAGUUCAAGUGAUUCUCGUGCCUCAACCUCCCAAUUAUAGGCUGGGAUUACAGAUGAGAUCUGGCUCUAUCACCCAGGCUAAAGUGCAGUGGCAUGAUCUAGGCUAACUCCCUGGCUCAAGCGAUCCUUCCACCUCAGCCUCCCAAGUACCUGGGACUACAGGCACUCACGGCCACACCUGACUAAUUUUUGUAUUUUUUUGUAGAGAUGGAGUAUCGCCAUGUUGCCCAGCUUCCUUUGAGGAAUGAAAAUCAUUGUUUGCUGUACAUUUGAUCAGAAGAAAAAAGAAAAACUGAAAUUAGUGAAGUCAGUGAAGUCUUCGGUCCCGUCCUGAAUCAUUUUUACCCUCUGUUUAGGGACAGGUCUAGAACGAGUGAGCACAAAACUGAAGAGUGUGCCGAAAAUCUCAGCAAUCAAGAUAACAUUUGAACUCCAUUUUU
Molecule: long non-coding RNA, 553 nt
Filed under: Homo sapiens (human)
Lineage: Eukaryota; Metazoa; Chordata; Mammalia; Primates; Hominidae
Description: non-protein coding lnc-APELA-1:2
Source: RNAcentral